This 306-nucleotide long non-coding RNA is filed under the name Homo sapiens (human). Its description in RNAcentral is "long non-coding RNA NONHSAT239999". The record is from RNAcentral. Lineage: Eukaryota; Metazoa; Chordata; Mammalia; Primates; Hominidae.
GGAGGAGAUGCCAGGGUCCAUUUGGGACAUAGUAGGAGUGAGAGGCUGGGGGGCACCUAGGGCAAGGUGUCCAGGAAGCCAGGGAACCCCGGAUCUGAGGGCAGAGAGAUGGUAUCAUGAGUGACGAGGCAGAGGUCAUUGGCAUGGAUGAGACAGGUAACCCCAGGAAAGUGGAAAGAGAAAGCAGAGAGGCCCUGGACAGAGUCCCAGAGACCUGCCAGUCUGGAGCUGGGCUGAGGGGAGGCUUCGAGGAAGGAGACAGAGGUUGCUGGAGAGGUGGGCAGAGUGUCUGAGGCCUCGAGCAGG